RNAcentral lists this ribosomal RNA (333 nucleotides) under uncultured bacterium. Its description in RNAcentral is "bacterial SSU rRNA". It matches the Rfam family "Bacterial small subunit ribosomal RNA", at positions 8 to 334 of the family's 1533-position model. The record is from RNAcentral.
AGGGUUUGAUUCUGGCUCAGGAUGAACGCUGGCGGCGUGCUUAACACAUGCAAGUCGAACGGACUUUAUAUGAAGCCUAGCGAUUAUAAAGUUAGUGGCGGACGGGUGAGUAACGCGUGAAUAACCUGCCCUGUACCGGGGGACAACAGUUGGAAACGGCUGCUAAUACCGCAUAAGCGCACGGUUCCGCAUGGAACAGUGUGAAAAACUCCGGUGGUACAGGAUGGAUUCGCGUCUGAUUAGCCAGUUGGUGGGGUAACGGCCUACCAAAGCAACGAUCAGUAGCCGGCCUGAGAGGGUGAACGGCCACAUUGGGACUGAGACACGGCCCAA